AUACUUACCUGGCAGGGGAGAUACCAUGAUCAUGAAAGUGGUUUUCCCAGGGUGAGACUUAUCCAUUGCACUUCGGGUGUGCUGAUCCCUGUGAUUUCCCGAACUGUGGGAAAAUCAACUGCAUAAUUUGUGGUAGUGCGGGACUGUUUUGGGGUUUCCCCUGG
This 164-nucleotide small nuclear RNA is filed under the name Pogona vitticeps (central bearded dragon). RNAcentral describes it as "U1 spliceosomal RNA (ENSPVIG00000012168.1)". It matches the Rfam family "U1 spliceosomal RNA". From Rfam's summary of the family: U1 is a small nuclear RNA (snRNA) component of the spliceosome (involved in pre-mRNA splicing). Its 5' end forms complementary base pairs with the 5' splice junction, thus defining the 5' donor site of an intron. There are significant differences in sequence and secondary structure between metazoan and yeast U1 snRNAs, the latter being much longer (568 nucleotides as compared to 164 nucleotides in human). The record is from RNAcentral. Lineage: Eukaryota; Metazoa; Chordata; Lepidosauria; Squamata; Agamidae.